RNAcentral lists this ribosomal RNA (466 nucleotides) under uncultured bacterium. Its description in RNAcentral is "bacterial SSU rRNA". It matches the Rfam family "Bacterial small subunit ribosomal RNA", at positions 328 to 792 of the family's 1533-position model. The record is from RNAcentral.
GUUCCAGACUCCUACGGGAGGCAGCAGUGAGGAAUAUUGGUCAAUGGCCGAGAGGCUGAACCAGCCAAGUCGCGUGAGGGAAGAAUGUCCUAUGGAUUGUAAACCUCUUUUGUCAGGGAGCAAAGUCACCCACGUGUGGGUGUUGGAGAGUACCUGAAGAAAAAGCAUCGGCUAACUCCGUGCCAGCAGCCGCGGUAAUACGGAGGAUGCGAGCGUUAUCCGGAUUUAUUGGGUUUAAAGGGUGCGCAGGCGGAGGUGCAAGUCAGCGGUCAAAUUGCGGGGCUCAACCCCGUACUGCCGUUGAAACUGCAUCCCUUGAGUGCGCGAGAAGUAUGCGGAAUGCGUGGUGUAGCGGUGAAAUGCUUAGAUAUCACGAAGAACUCCGAUUGCGAAGGCAGCCUACUAAACUGCCACUGACAUUGAUGCUCGAAAGUGUGGGUAUCAAACAGGAUUAGAUACCCUCGUA